Molecule: ribosomal RNA, 459 nt
Filed under: uncultured bacterium
Lineage: Bacteria
Description: partial 16S ribosomal RNA
Rfam family: Bacterial small subunit ribosomal RNA
Source: RNAcentral
CCUACGGGUGGCAGCAGUGAGGAAUAUUGGUCAAUGGGAGAGAUCCUGAACCAGCCAAGCCGCGUGAGGGAAGACGGCCCUAUGGGUUGUAAACCUCUUUUGUCGGAGAACAAAACCCGGGACGUGUCCCGGACUGCGUGUAUCCGAAGAAAAAGCAUCGGCUAACUCCGUGCCAGCAGCCGCGGUAAUACGGAGGAUGCGAGCGUUAUCCGGAUUUAUUGGGUUUAAAGGGUGCGUAGGCGGUCCGUUAAGUCAGCGGUAAAAUGGCGUGGCUCAACCCCGUCGAGCCGUGGAAACUGGCAGACUUGAGUUGGCGAGAAGUACGCGGAAUGCGCGGUGUAGCGGUGAAAUGCAUAGAUAUCACGCAGAACGCCGAUUGCGAAGGCAGCAUACCGGCGCCCGACUGACGCUGAGGCACGAAAGCGUGGGGAUCGAACAGGAUUAGAUACCCCAGUAGUC